Pelobates cultripes (western spadefoot toad) is the source of this 954-nucleotide non-coding RNA. Lineage: Eukaryota; Metazoa; Chordata; Amphibia; Anura; Pelobatidae. The record is from the annotation of a GenBank genome assembly.
AUUUUUUUAAGUCAAUCAUUCCUAAGCAUAUUUAUUUAUUUAUUACUGGCAUUUAUAAAGUGCCAACAGAUUCCACAAUGCUGUACAUACAAUAUGCACAGAUAAUACAAAAGGAAAAGAGGGCCCUGCCAUGAGCGGAGAUCUAGCCAUUGUAGCUCCUUUUUACAAAGUGCUUCGAUAGAGAGCCCGUGAGCUUACAAUUUAAAGGAUAGAAUGUAGAUUUGAGACAAGAGGUGGCAGGGGGAAUUUGGAAGUGAUGGCCUGAAAAAAGUAACAGAAGCUUGAAGCUGUCACUAAGAUGUAAAGGGAAGUCAUUUAGUCAUCUUCUACGCUUCAGACAAUACCUGAAAGUUGCAGGUAAACUCAGUACUGCUGUUUGCAGACUACAUUUCCCAUAAUACUCAGGAGGUAUGUAGGUAUAGGACUAGUAAACAUGUUUAUGAGCAUAAUAAAGUGAAAAUACGGAAAAACAGUCCAAACUCUCUCACUCCAAACUAGAACCAUUUUUCAAUGCACUAGAUGGUAAGUAGGUCAAUCCAGAUGUUGUGGACUAGAUCUCCACUGAUGCUAAGCCAGCAUUAUGGCGGUCAGCGCAUUAUGGGAGGUGUAGUCCACACAAGUUGCGCUAGAUCAAGCAUGUCAAACUCAAAGGCUAACACCAGUCAAAUAAACAAGGUUUAAGUUUACGUGGGCCGCAAAAAAACAAAAACGUAGAAACGUAGGUUUAUUUAGAAAAUUACAGUAUAAAAAAGUUGCCUAACUGACACUGUAUGUCCUGACGCUCGUAGGGCUUCAAAGUAAACAAAAGAGCAAAUUUAUUUUUAAGGAGAUGUGCAUUUGCAUAUAACCAAUGUUUCAGUCCAACUACCUUGACAUAUUAAGAAAAGUUUGGUAAUGGGAUUAAAAUGGUGAAUGUAUGCUGUUGUACAGCUGUAAAAAAUAAAUGAGUUAUCU